AUUGAACGCUGGCGGCAGGCCUAACACAUGCAGGUCGAGCGGAUGAAGGGAGCUUGCUCCUGGAUUCAGCGGCGGACGGGUGAGUAAUGCCUAGGAAUCUGCCUGGUAGUGGGGGAUAACGUCCGGAAACGGGCGCUAAUACCGCAUACGUCCUGAGGGAGAAAGUGGGGGAUCUUCGGACCUCACGCUAUCAGAUGAGCCUAGGUCGGAUUAGCUAGUUGGUGGGGUAAAGGCCUACCAAGGCGACGAUCCGUAACUGGUCUGAGAGGAUGAUCAGUCACAUGGGAAGUGGGACACGCGCCAGAACCUCAGGGGGGGGAGCAUGGGGGAAUAUGGGCAGAUGGGGGAAAGCGUGACCCGGCCAACCGGGGGUGGUGAAGAAGGGUUUGGGUUUGAAAAGCCUUUUAAGUUGGGAGGAGGGGCAGUAAGUUAAAACCUUGCUUUUUUGAGGUUCCAAAAAGAAAGAGCACCGCCUAAUUUCUU
Molecule: ribosomal RNA, 483 nt
Filed under: uncultured bacterium
Lineage: Bacteria
Description: partial 16S ribosomal RNA
Rfam family: Bacterial small subunit ribosomal RNA
Source: RNAcentral